RNAcentral lists this ribosomal RNA (771 nucleotides) under uncultured bacterium. Its description in RNAcentral is "bacterial SSU rRNA". It matches the Rfam family "Bacterial small subunit ribosomal RNA", at positions 76 to 833 of the family's 1533-position model. The record is from RNAcentral.
CUCUUCGGGGAUGAUUAAACCGGCGCACGGGUGAGUAACACGUGAGUGACCUGCCUUUUAGACUGGAACAACUUACCGAAAGGUGAGCUAAUGCCGGAUGAGUUAUAUAAGUGCAUGUUUAUAUAGGAAAAGUUGGGGAGACCUGACGCUGAAAGACGGACUCGCGUCCCAUUAGCUAGUUGGUAGGGUAAUGGCCUACCAAGGCGACGAUGGGUAGCCGGCCUGAGAGGGUGGCCGGCCACACUGGGACUGAGACACGGCCCAGACUCCUACGGGAGGCAGCAGUGGGGAAUUUUGCGCAAUGCUCGUAAGAGUGACGCAGCGACGCCGCGUGAAUGACGAAGGCCUUCGGGUCGUAAAGUUCUUUCGACAGGGAAGAAAAUGCCUAUAAGUAACUGUGUAUGUAUUGACGGUACCUGUAUAAGCAGCCCCGGCUAACUCCGUGCCAGCAGCCGCGGUAAUACGGAGGGGGCGAGCGUUGUUCGGAGUGACUGGGCGUAAAGAGCACGUAGGCGGUGUUGUAAGUCAUUAGUCAAAGACUAGAGCUCAACUUUAGUAAGGCUAGUGAUACUAUAAUACUAGAGUAUCAGAGAGGAUUGCAGAAUUCCUGGUGUAGCGGUGAAAUGCGUAGAUAUCAGGAGGAAUACCGUUAGCGAAGGCGGCAAUCUGGCUGGAAACUGACGCUGAGGUGCGAAAGCGUGGGUAGCAAACAGGAUUAGAUACCCUGGUAGUCCACGCUGAUAACGAUGGAUGCUAGGUGUUGGGCUUUUA